UUCCUACGGGAGGCAGCAGUGGGGAAUAUUGCACAAUGGGGAAACCCUGAUGCAGCGACGCCGCGUGAGCGAAGAAGGUUUUCGAAUCGUAAAGCUCUGUCCUAUGGGGAGAUAAUGACGGUACCAUAGGAGGAAGCCCCGGCUAACUACGUGCCAGCAGCCGCGGUAAUACGUAGGGGGCAAGCGUUGUCCGGAAUCACUGGGCGUAAAGGGUUCGCAGGCGGAAAUGCAAGUCAGUUGUGAAAGGCAGAGGCUCAACCUCUGUAGGCAAUUGAAACUGUAUUUCUUGAGAUGUGGAGAGGCAAGUGGAAUUCCUAGUGUAGCGGUGAAAUGCGUAGAUAUUAGGAAGAAUACCGGUGGCGAAGGCGACUUGCUGGACACAAACUGACGCUGAGGAACGAAAGCGUGGGUAGCGAACAGGAUUAGAUACCCUGGUAGACCACGCCGUAAACGAUGAGUGCUAGGUGUCGGGGGAGACCUCGGUGCCGCAGUAAACACAAUAAGCACUCCGCCUGGGGAGUACGUGCGCAAGCAUGAAACUCAAAUGAAUUGACGGAA
Molecule: ribosomal RNA, 558 nt
Filed under: uncultured Peptoniphilus sp.
Lineage: Bacteria; Bacillati; Bacillota; Tissierellia; Tissierellales; Peptoniphilaceae
Description: bacterial SSU rRNA
Rfam family: Bacterial small subunit ribosomal RNA
Source: RNAcentral